Molecule: non-coding RNA, 459 nt
Organism: Dermacentor albipictus
Lineage: Eukaryota; Metazoa; Arthropoda; Arachnida; Ixodida; Ixodidae
Source: RefSeq, a predicted model, not a curated record
CAUGCGGCCCCGCCGGCCCGGCGCCAGCUCAGCCCGCUGCAUGACGUUUCUUGUUUCGUUACGUGCUGUUAUCGCGAAGCGUGUGCGGCUGUGCGUUGACCAGCAUGGGUAGUUUCGUCAGUUUCGUGGCCCUCGGUAGCUGUAUGUUUGUGCUCCACAAUGGUUCAGCCGUUUCACGACUCGUACCGCUCGUGCAUCGUGCAGUGGUGCAGAAAUACCUCAAAAACAAGCCCUGUAAGGUUGUUCCAGGUGCCUAAAGACAACAGAAAUUCAGUGGGCCAUGAUCUUGUACCUGCCAGCACCACUCAAGUGUCAUCAUCAGACUGGGAGAAAAGGAGAACUGCCAAAGAUGAUGUAAAGAGUAUGGUCCGCUGCAAGACAACAGGAGCCGUGGCAUUAAAGAGGGCAACCCGCAUUCCGGAACCAGCUAGAGGCAGGUACCUUCUCGCAAUAUGUCAG